RNAcentral lists this ribosomal RNA (407 nucleotides) under uncultured bacterium. RNAcentral describes it as "bacterial SSU rRNA". It matches the Rfam family "Bacterial small subunit ribosomal RNA", at positions 969 to 1375 of the family's 1533-position model. The record is from RNAcentral.
CCUUACCUGGCCUUGACAUCCUGCGAACUUUCCAGAGAUGGAUUGGUGCCUUCGGGAACUCUGAGACAGGUGCUGCAUGGCCGUCGUCAGCUCGUGUCGUGAGAUGUUGGGUUAAGUCCCGUAACGAGCGCAACCCCUAUCCCUGGUUGCUAGCAGGUAAUGCUGAGAACUCCAGGGAGACUGCCGGUGACAAACCGGAGGAAGGUGGGGAUGACGUCAGGUCAUCAUGGCCCUUACGGCCAGGGCUACACACGUGCUACAAUGGCGCGUACAGAGGGCUGCCAACUCGCGAGAGUGAGCCAAUCCCUUAAAACGCGUCGUAGUCCGGAUCGGAGUCUGCAACUCGACUCCGUGAAGUCGGAAUCGCUAGUAAUCGCGAAUCAGAAUGUCGCGGUGAAUACGUUCCC